CUUCCUACGGGGGGCAGCAGUGAGGAAUAUUGGUCAAUGGGCGGGAGCCUGAACCAGCCAAGUCGCGUGAGGGAUGACGGCCCUAUGGGUUGUAAACCUCUUUUGCCGGGGAGCAAAGUGCCGCACGUGUGCGGUUUGGAGAGAACCCGGAGAAAAAGCAUCGGCUAACUCCGUGCCAGCAGCCGCGGUAAUACGGAGGAUGCGAGCGUUAUCCGGAUUUAUUGGGUUUAAAGGGGGCGUAGGCGGACGAUUAAGUCAGCGGUAAAAAUGUGGGGCGCAACCUCGUAGAGCCGUUGGAACUGGGG
Molecule: ribosomal RNA, 305 nt
Filed under: uncultured bacterium
Lineage: Bacteria
Description: bacterial SSU rRNA
Rfam family: Bacterial small subunit ribosomal RNA
Source: RNAcentral